UCCGGGCGCGCGGAAUUCAGAACCGACGAGCAUACUUCGUCGAUUCGAUAUUUCCGCCGCCGACCCGUAGAACCGGGUGCGGACGUCGCGACCCGUUCGUCGUCGAUCUGACGAGUCGCGUUUCGAGUUCGAGGCGCGCGCGUUUCGUUCGCGUGCGCGCGCGUCGCGAUGGCGCGAUACUUGGAUCGGCGUGCGCGGACGGUAGCUGUGAACGCGCGGGUAAUCGACGCCGACGAUAUACGGUCGUAUUGCUGCGACGGUAUAUGUUCGAGCGUCGACGCCGGUCAGCGACGAAUUUUCGGGCCUCUUUCCGACCCGUCUUGAAACACGGACCAAGGAGUCUAACGUGCGCGCGAGUCGCGGGGUACUCGAGUCGUUAGUUUUUUUUCGUUUUUUUUUUUAAAAGUGGAAAAAGACGACGCGAUUCGUUACACGAACGAAACCCGUUAUACGUACGUUGUGCGAAGGCGUAAUGAAAGUGAGGCGACGCGUUUCGGCGCGUCGCCGGGGAAGACGGUGCUAUUUCCGUGUACACGUUCCUCGGUCGCACCGUGUAACCGAGGCCGGACACCCGCAUUCCCAGGGCGUCCCGUCCGUCCGUCGAUGGCGCGGACGUGCGUUCGCGUACGUCGGCCGUCGACGAACUGGGGCGCACCUAUAGCGUGCACGUUGGUACCCGAAAGAUGGUGAACUAUGCCCGGCCAGGAUGAAGUCAGGGGAAACCCUGAUGGAGGUCCGCAGCGAUUCUGACGUGCAAAUCGAUCGU
RNAcentral lists this ribosomal RNA (766 nucleotides) under Cryptes baccatus. Its description in RNAcentral is "partial 28S ribosomal RNA". It matches the Rfam family "Eukaryotic large subunit ribosomal RNA", at positions 437 to 905 of the family's 3401-position model. Lineage: Eukaryota; Metazoa; Arthropoda; Insecta; Hemiptera; Coccidae. The record is from RNAcentral.